UGUUCUGUGGCUUAGUUGGUUAAAGCGCCGGUCUAGCGAAUACGGAGUCGUGGGUUCGAAUCCCACUAAAACGC
Molecule: non-coding RNA, 74 nt
Organism: Aedes albopictus (Asian tiger mosquito)
Lineage: Eukaryota; Metazoa; Arthropoda; Insecta; Diptera; Culicidae
Source: Rfam